AAGAUGAAAAUUACAUUAUUGAAAGUUAUUGUAGGAAAAAAGGGCAAAUUAGCGUCAGACCUUCCAUUUUUCAUGAAUGACUUUGCAAUUCUUUGUCAUUUAUUCUUAUUUGGAGCUACAACCCUUGCCAUUUUGAGUGAUAUUCCUUUGCAAGUUUCAAUAUUACAUGCUUGAACCAUCUUUUUUUUUGCGACUUCAAUCAUAAUUUGCACAACUUUCAAGCUUCCUUUGAUAUGCUCCUUUUCAUGGUUUGUCGAACCGCUUAGUUCGAGGCCUACCAAACCAAACUAUUACGUAAUCGAGACGAUUCGAGCUUCUGGAACAGGACAAAAGGCGAACCAUGCCAAACUAUGCUAACCUGACUAGUUCCGCCCU
This 375-nucleotide long non-coding RNA is filed under the name Phoenix dactylifera (date palm). Its description in RNAcentral is "long non-coding RNA (PDAC_LNC002135)". The record is from RNAcentral. Lineage: Eukaryota; Viridiplantae; Streptophyta; Magnoliopsida; Arecales; Arecaceae.